This 1515-nucleotide ribosomal RNA is filed under the name uncultured prokaryote. RNAcentral describes it as "partial 16S ribosomal RNA". It matches the Rfam family "Bacterial small subunit ribosomal RNA". The record is from RNAcentral.
AGAGUUUGAUCCUGGCUCAGAACGAACGUUAGCGGUGUGGAUAAGGCAUGCAAGUCGUGCGCGAACGCCUUCGGGUUAGUAAAGCGGCGAACGGGUGAGUAACACGUAAUCAAUCUACCCCCUAGACCGGGAUAACUGCUGGAAACGGCAGGUAAUACCGGAUGGCCUUUCUUGGUGGCAUCACCUUGAAAGUAAACGGCAGCUUCGGCAGUUGCUAGGGGAGGGGAUUGCGGACUAUUAGCUUGUUGGUGGGGUAAUGGCCUACCAAGGCGAUGAUGGUUAGCCGGUCUGAGAGGACGACCGGUCACACUGGGACUGAGACACUGCCCAGACUCCUACGGGAGGCUGCAGUCGAGAAUCUUCCGCAAUGGGCGAAAGCCUGACGGAGCGACACCGCGUGCAGGAUGAAGGCCUUAGGGUUGUAAACUGCUGUCACGUUAUAGGAAUAGCGCAACGUUAAUAGCGUUGCGUCUGACCAAAGCGAAAGGAAGCACCGGCUAACUCCGUGCCAGCAGCCGCGGUAAGACGGAGGGUGCAAACGUUGUUCGGAAUUACUGGGCAUAAAGCGCACGUAGGCGGCGCGUUAAGUCAGGCGUGAAAGCCCUCGGCUCAACCGAGGAACUGCUCCUGAAACUGGCGUGCUCGAGAAUGGUUGGGGUGAGCGGAACUCCUGGUGGAGCGGUGAAAUGCGUAGAUAUCAGGAGGAACACCGGUGGCGAAAGCGGCUCACUGGACCAUCACUGACGCUGAGGUGCGAAAGCUAGGGUAGCGAACGGGAUUAGAUACCCCGGUAGUCCUAGCCGUAAACGAUGGGCACUAGGCAAGGGGGAUUCCUAUGGUCUUCUUUGCCGUAGCAAAUGUGUUAAGUGCCCCGCCUGGGGAGUACGCUCGCAAGGGUAAAACUCAAAGGAAUUGACGGGGGCUCACACAAGCGGUGGAGCAUGUGGUUUAAUUCGAAGCAACGCGAAGAACCUUACCCAGACUUGACAUGUAGGGAUUAACCUUGUGAAAGCAGCCCGGGGAUUGCCUUCGGGUGUAACCUACACAGGUGUUGCAUGGCUGUCGUCAGCUCGUGUCGUGAGAUGUCGGGUUAAGUCCCUUAACGAGCGAAACCCCUAUCACUAGUUGCUAGCAGGUAAUGCUGAGGACUCUAGUGAGACUGCCGGUUGUUAAGACGGAGGAAGGUGGGGACGACGUCAAGUCAUCAUGGCCCUUAUGGCCAGGGCGACACACGUGCUACAAUGGUCCGUACAGAGGGUUCCUAGACCGCGAGGUGGAGGCAAUCCCUAAAGCGGGCCCCAGUUCGGAUUGCAGGCUGCAAUUCGCCUGCAUGAAGCCGGAAUCGCUAGUAAUCGCGUAUCAGCCAUGACGCGGUGAAUAUGUUCCUGAGCCUUGUACACACCGCCCGUCAAGCCACGAAAGCGGGGAGUGCUCGAAGUCGUUUUGCCUAACCUUCGGGAGGGCAGCGCCGAAAGCAAGCUUCGUGAUUGGGACUAAGUCGUAACAAGGUAGCCG